GACGAACGCUGGCGGCGUGCUUAACACAUGCAAGUCGAACGGAACGGCCCUGCUUUUGUGGGGUGCUCGAGUGGCGAACUGGUGAGUAACACGUGAGUAACCUGCCCUUGCCUUUGGGAUAACUUCAGGAAACUGGGGCUCAUACCGGAUAGGAGCUCCUGCUUCUUGGUGGGGGUUGGAAAGUUUCGGCGGUUGGUGAUGGACUCGCGGCGUAUCAGCUUGGUGGUGGGGUAGUGGCUUACCAAGGCAUUGACGGGUAGCCGGGCUGAGAGGGUGACCGGCCACGUUGGGACUGAGAUACGGCCCAGACUACUACGGGAGGCAGCAGUGGAGAGUAGUGCACAAUGCGCGGAAGCCUGAUGCAGCCACGCCGCGCGCGGGAUGAGGGGAAUCGGGUAGUGUAGCGCAGUCGCCUUUGACGAAGCGUGAGUGACGGUAAUGGGUAAAGAAGCACCGGCUAACUACGUG
This 468-nucleotide ribosomal RNA is filed under the name uncultured bacterium. RNAcentral describes it as "partial 16S ribosomal RNA". It matches the Rfam family "Bacterial small subunit ribosomal RNA", at positions 28 to 507 of the family's 1533-position model. The record is from RNAcentral.